This 1013-nucleotide ribosomal RNA is filed under the name human metagenome. RNAcentral's name for it is "bacterial LSU rRNA". It matches the Rfam family "Bacterial large subunit ribosomal RNA", at positions 1914 to 2925 of the family's 2925-position model. The record is from RNAcentral.
GAAGCCCCAGUAAACGGCGGCCGUAACUAUAACGGUCCUAAGGUAGCGAAAUUCCUUGUCGGGUAAGUUCCGACCUGCACGAAUGGCAUAAUGAUGGCCAGGCUGUCUCCACCCGAGACUCAGUGAAAUUGAAAUCGCCGUGAAGAUGCGGUGUACCCGCGGCUAGACGGAAAGACCCCGUGAACCUUUACUAUAGCUUGACACUGAACAUUGAAUUUUGAUGUGUAGGAUAGGUGGGAGACUUAGAAGUAGUCACGCCAGUGAUUAUGGAGUCGUCCUUGAAAUACCACCCUUUAACGUUUGAUGUUCUAACGAAGAUUACGAAACGUGGUCUCGGACAGUGUCUGGUGGGUAGUUUGACUGGGGCGGUCUCCUCCCAAAGAGUAACGGAGGAGCACGAAGGUUUGCUAAUGACGGUCGGACAUCGUCAGGUUAGUGCAAUGGUAUAAGCAAGCUUAACUGCGAGACAGACAAGUCGAGCAGGUACGAAAGUAGGUCAUAGUGAUCCGGUGGUUCUGAAUGGAAGGGCCAUCGCUCAACGGAUAAAAGGUACUCCGGGGAUAACAGGCUGAUACCGCCCAAGAGUUCAUAUCGACGGCGGUGUUUGGCACCUCGAUGUCGGCUCAUCACAUCCUGGGGCUGAAGUAGGUCCCAAGGGUAUGGCUGUUCGCCAUUUAAAGUGGUACGCGAGCUGGGUUUAGAACGUCGUGAGACAGUUCGGUCCCUAUCUGCCGUGGGCGUUGGAGAAUUGAUUGGGGCUGCUCCUAGUACGAGAGGACCGGAGUGGACGCACCACUGGUGUUCCGGUUGUGUCGCCAGACGCAUUGCCGGGUAGCUAAGUGCGGAAGAGAUAAGUGCUGAAAGCAUCUAAGCACGAAACUUGCCAAGAGAUGAGUUCUCCCAGAUUUAAAAUCUGUAAGGGUUGUUUAAGACUAAGACGUAGAUAGGUCUGGUGUGUAAGCGGUGCGAGCCGUUGAGCUAACAGAUACUAAUUGCCCGAGAGGCUUAACUAU